Molecule: RNA transcript, 1708 nt
Organism: Acinonyx jubatus (cheetah)
Lineage: Eukaryota; Metazoa; Chordata; Mammalia; Carnivora; Felidae
Gene: SPMIP6
Gene name: chromosome D4 C9orf24 homolog
Exons: 7
Source: RefSeq, a predicted model, not a curated record
UGAUGCCUCGUAACCUCCAUUUCUCUUCAUCAAAGUGAGAAGUUUGGCCUAGAAGAUCUCCAGAGACCUUCUGAACUCUUGGGCUUGGAAGUUGGGCUUUUUUAAAGAGGCUUGAGGUGGGGCGCCUGGGUGGCUCAGUUGGUUAAGGGUCUGACUUCAGCUCAGGUCAUGAUCUCGCCAUCCGUGAGUUCUAGCCCCGCGUCAGGCUCUGUGCUGAUGGUUCAGUGCCUGGAGCCUGUUUCAGAUUCUGUGUCUCCCUCUCUCUCUGACCCUCCCCCCCGUUUAUGCUCUGUCUCUCUCUGUCUCAAACAUAAAUAAACGUUAAAAAAAUUUUUUUAAAUAAAUAAAUAAAGAGGCUUGAGGCAGUAAGAGGCUGGGGGUGGGAAGGGAAUUGGAUCUCCUCAUCUCUCCAGGGAUGGGGCUGAGCCAGGUGAUAUCAUAAUGGGCAGUGCCCAUCCUAGAGGGGAAAGCAGGGUGGGGUAGGAGCAGGAAGGUUGUAGGGGAGAGAAGCUGAGAGAUCCUCCAUAGGAGGGGUCACAGCAGCUAGCGGCACCUGCCGGGGUUGGAGGUGUGGGCUAUCUGGGAGGCGGUGGAGGUCACUGAUGUCUUACAGGAGUCCUUGGUAGGUAAAGCCCACCACGACAUCCCCUAGACCUCACUAUGUUCCUCUUCUCCCGUAAGACCAAGACCCCCAUCAGCACCUACAGUGACUCCUACAGGGCUCCAACCUCUAUCAAGGAGGUCUAUAAAGACCCACCUCUGUGGGCCUGGGAAGCCAACAAGUUUGUGACCCCGGGCCUGACUCAGACUAUGCAGCGCCACGUGGAUCCUGAAGCCCUGCAGAAGAUGGUCAAAUGUGCUGUGCAGAACUACAGCUAUAAGAGUUCCAUAGCAGGCCACCCCUACUUUCCUGAGAAAUACUGGCUCUGUCAAGAGGAAGUAGACAAAUGCAACCCAUACUACCUACGUGGUGACCGGUAUAACACAUGGAGGAUGGGACCUUACAACUGUACCAGCUGGAACAAAUAUACCACAUGCCUUCCCCAGCUACCUAAGGAGGCUGGCAUGGAGACAGCUGUUCGAGGAAUGCCCUUGCAGUGCCCUCCUAAGCCGGAACGACUCAAUGCCUACGAGCGUGAGGUGGUGGUGAAUAUGUUGAACUCGCUGUCACGGAACCAGCGGCUGCCGCAGAUCACUCGCCGAUGCGGGUGCGUGGACCCGCUGCCGGGCUGCCUGCCCUUCCAGGGUUAUGAAAGCUCUUGCUCAGGCCGCCACUACUGUCUACGCGGGAUGGACUACUACGUGACCAGAGCACCCUGCACGGAACGCCGCCACCGGCCUUUGUGCGCACAGCAGCCGACUGUAAGUCUGGCGGAAACACAUUGCAAAUGCGCUUAGCGCAGCGAGGACCGCGGAGACAGUUGUCCGCUGCAUGCACUGAUUGGAAGAUACCACCAGGGGGCGCUAGUACCAUGGGGACGUCAAAGCUGGCAAGGGAAUGGAGAACCCCAUGAGAGGGCACGGAGGCUGGCAUGGAAGGGUCCGCAGAUGGGACACAAGUCACUUCAAGAAGACCGGUGGCCCCCAAAGAAACAACUAUGUCAUCCACCCUGAGUUUGUGUCUGAAACCUAUCCUGAUUGCCACUGCUGGUAGAGCCCAGCCUGGUGGGGACAAGGGGGCUGAGCAGUAAAUAAACUCUUCACCCCA